GACGAACGCUGGCGGCGUGCUUAACACAUGCAAGUCGAGCGGUAAGGCCCUUUCGGGGGUACACGAGCGGCGAACGGGUGAGUAACACGUGGGUGACCUGCCCUCAGCUCUGGGAUAAGCCUGGGAAACCGGGUCUAAUACUGGAUAUGACUCCAUGACGCAUGUUGUGGGGUGGAAAGCCUUGUGCGGCUGAGGAUGGGCCCGCGGCCUAUCAGCUUGUUGGUGGGGUGANGGCCUACCAAGGCGACGACGGGUAGCCGGCCUGAGAGGGCGACCGGCCACACUGGGACUGAGACACGGCCCAGACUCCUACGGGAGGCAGCAGUGGGGAAUCUUGCGCAAUGGGCGAAAGCCUGACGCAGCGACGCCGCGUGAGGGAUGACGGCCUUCGG
Molecule: ribosomal RNA, 392 nt
Filed under: uncultured bacterium
Lineage: Bacteria
Description: bacterial SSU rRNA
Rfam family: Bacterial small subunit ribosomal RNA
Source: RNAcentral